RNAcentral lists this transfer RNA (85 nucleotides) under Oryzomicrobium terrae. RNAcentral describes it as "tRNA-Leu". It matches the Rfam family "tRNA". Rfam says of the family: Transfer RNA (tRNA) molecules are approximately 80 nucleotides in length. Lineage: Bacteria; Pseudomonadati; Pseudomonadota; Betaproteobacteria; Rhodocyclales; Rhodocyclaceae. The record is from RNAcentral.
GCCGGGAUGGCGGAAUCGGUAGACGCAGCGGAUUCAAAAUCCGCCGCCGCAAGGCGUGAGGGUUCGAGUCCCUCUUCCGGCACCA